Vicugna pacos (alpaca) is the source of this 1063-nucleotide non-coding RNA. NCBI's taxonomy places the organism in Eukaryota, Metazoa, Chordata, Mammalia, Artiodactyla, Camelidae. The record is from RefSeq and is a predicted model, not a curated record.
AAGGUAAGUGUGAGCUGCUUCCUUUUGGCUUUUAACUCGGAUUUUCCUUAUUCCAUAAAAGUGUCCUGAAGUCAACUUCUGUCUCCAAUGUACUCUUCAAAUUCUAUUUUUUCCUGUGACUGGAGGAGAACCUAAUGCACUGAGGAACUUCCUUAAUCAUUUAUUUUACUUUCUCUGCAGAUGUGAAGAUUCCCAGUGGAGAUCUUUUCAGAGAAUCCUCUGAUCAUGACACACCUGAAGGACGUACCUCAACCACCAUGAGGGGUAACAUGGAAGGACUUUUCAAGAAAGCUCCAGGGUGUCUCCUGAGCUCAGUGCAACAGGCAGGGCAGUCUUUACCAAGGCCACUAGGCAGCAGAGACAUCCGGGCUUAGAGGUGAAGAGCCGCCCGCCUCGUCAUCCGGGACUCGAGAGCAGCCCCGCCCCCCUGCGCUUCCCGUUGGCCCAGCGCCGCGAAGCUCCGCCCCCCGUCGAGAGCCAAUCACAGAGGGCCGCCCACCCCAGUCUUGCCCGAGGCCCAUUCUGCAGAUUGAGUGGAGGGAGCGGCAGAGAAUCGAGCCCAGACCCCGGAAAACUACCCUGAGAGGCCGGCGAGAACAGCAGCUCCACUCCCGUGUUCCUGUGAAAUCCAAGCCAUAAAAAGGAUGAAGGCGGAGGAAGCUAUACAAGCACCUGGUUAUAGGCUGCACUGCACACCACUCCUCUCACCAUUACUCCCAUCCCAGCAUCCAGCAUCAUACGCAGUUGGCCUUCUGUAUCCGCGGACACAGAGGGCCCGCUGUACCAAGCCAUUUUAUAUAUGGGUCUUGCACAGCCACGGAUUUUGGUAUCUACAGGAGUCUUGGAAUCAAUCCCUCUCAGAGCCCAAGGAAUGACUGUAACCACACCAGCUCUGGAACUCACCCACGACUAAGGCCUGGCCUGUGGGCAGAAACAGGAGCAUCUAGACCCAAUCUGUUACCCUCUUGGUUGGCACCGCUUUCGCAGCGCUUGUUAGUUCCUUGUUACAGGAGGUAAUGGUUUACUCUGAAGACCUCGAUUAAAAAUCUGGCUUCAUCACCAA